This 422-nucleotide ribosomal RNA is filed under the name uncultured bacterium. RNAcentral describes it as "bacterial SSU rRNA". It matches the Rfam family "Bacterial small subunit ribosomal RNA", at positions 29 to 498 of the family's 1533-position model. The record is from RNAcentral.
AACGAACGCUGGCGGCAGGCCUAACACAUGCAAGUCGUGCGCACCUUCGGGUGAGCGGCGGACGGGUUAGUAACGCGUGGGAACGUGCCCAGAUCUAAGGAAUAGCCACUGGAAACGGUGAGUAAUACCUUAUACGCCCUUCGGGGGAAAGAUUUAUCGGAUUUGGAUCGGCCCGCGUUAGAUUAGGUAGUUGGUGGGGUAACGGCCUACCAAGCCUACGAUCUAUAGCUGGUUUUAGAGGAUGAUCAGCAACACUGGGACUGAGACACGGCCCAGACUCCUACGGGAGGCAGCAGUGAGGAAUCUUGGACAAUGGGGGCAACCCUGAUCCAGCCAUGCCGCGUGAGGGAAGAAGGCCUUAGGGUUGUAAAUCUCUUUCAGCGGGGAAGAUAAUGACGGUACCCGCAGAAGAAGCUCCGGCU